Molecule: ribosomal RNA, 253 nt
Filed under: uncultured bacterium
Lineage: Bacteria
Description: partial 16S ribosomal RNA
Rfam family: Bacterial small subunit ribosomal RNA
Source: RNAcentral
UACGGAGGGGGCAAGCGUUGUUCGGAAUUACUGGGCGUAAAGGGCGCGUAGGCGGACCUUCAAGUCAGGGGUGAAAGGCCUGGGCUCAACCUGGGAACUGCCUUUGAAACUGGAGGUCUUGAGUCCGGGAGAGGAUGGCGGAAUUCCCAGUGUAGAGGUGAAAUUCGUAGAUAUUGGGAAGAACACCCGUGGCGAAGGCGGCCAUCUGGACCGGUACUGACGCUAAGGCGCGACAGCGUCGGGAGCAAACAGG